AGUGAACGCUGGCGGUAGGCCUAACACAUGCCAGUCGAACGGCAGCACAGUAAGAGCUUGCUCUUACGGGUGGCGAGUGGCGGACGGGUGAGGAAUACAUCGGAAUCUACUUUUUCGUGGGGGAUAACGUAGGGAAACUUACGCUAAUACCGCAUACGACCUACGGGUGAAAGCAGGGGAUCUUCGUACCUUUCGCUAUUGAAUGAGCCGAUGUCGGAUUAGCUAGUUGGCGGGGUAAAGGCCCACCAAGGCGAAGAUCCGUAGCUGGUCUGAGAGGGUGGUCCGCCACAGUGGAACUGACACACGGUCCAGACUCCUACGGGAGGCAGGAGUGGGAAUAUUGGACAAUGGGCGCAGGCCUGAUCCAGCCAUACCGCGGGGGUGAAGAGGGCCUUCGGGUUGUAAAGCCUUUUUGUUGGGAAAGAAAAGCAGCAGGUUAAUACCCCGCUGUUCUGACGGUACCCAAAGAAUAAGCACCGGCUAACUUCGUG
RNAcentral lists this ribosomal RNA (491 nucleotides) under uncultured bacterium. RNAcentral describes it as "partial 16S ribosomal RNA". It matches the Rfam family "Bacterial small subunit ribosomal RNA", at positions 29 to 507 of the family's 1533-position model. The record is from RNAcentral.